This 253-nucleotide ribosomal RNA is filed under the name uncultured bacterium. RNAcentral's name for it is "partial 16S ribosomal RNA". It matches the Rfam family "Bacterial small subunit ribosomal RNA", at positions 524 to 776 of the family's 1533-position model. The record is from RNAcentral.
UACGUAGGUUGCAAGCGUUGUCCGGAUUUAUUGGUUUUAACGGGUGCGUAGGCGGCCUAUUAGGUUAGUGGUGAAGACGUUCGGCUUAACCGGAUACCCGCCAUUGAUACUGAUAGACUUGAGUGCGACAGAGGGUGUUGGAAUGUGUGGUGUAGCGGUGAAAUGCUUAGAUAUCACGCAGAACACCAAUUGCGAAGGCAGAUGCCUAUGACGUAACUGACGCUGAGGCACGAAAGCGUGGGGAGCAAACAGG